CUCUCUGCCUCUCUCUCUCUCUGCAUAUGAGAUAUCCCACUAGACACAGAUGUCAGUUCAACAUUUAGUUUUGACUCACAUUUGGUUGAGUUGUCAACUAAAGUAAAUUUCACAUGAAAAUAAACCUUCAGACAUAGUUACCAGACCCGGACUCAGGGAUGGCUAACCCUGGAGAUCCCUUGAAUCUCCACCGAGGUGGUCCACCUUCCCUGUGGCCGAUCUGGUUACUCUAUUGACAGUGGACAGGACAUGGACGUCUCGUUUGUCAUGCCACUUUACUGCCAGCUGUUGACCAUUCUCCUUGAACUCCACCUCCCCUCUCUGCAUCUUCCUGCAUCCGAAUGCCGGCAUCCCCUUCCUGUUCGACCUUACUGUGCCACAGGUCCCUGUGCUGUUGGAGAGCAGAUGCUGGAAGAGUGUGGGACUGCUGUACCAAUUGUCCACAUACAAGGUGUGUCCCUUGCCGAGAUGAGGAGCCAGCAUGGUCAUCACUACAGACCUGGACACCCCAAGCCCCUCAUAAUGUUGGAUGUCAGUGGUGGACCCUGUGUAAACUAUAAUGUCAUGGACAAAUCCUGUCUUCACGUCAUACAUAACAAAGAACUUGACCCCAAACCUGUGUCUUUUGGAGGGAAUAUAUUGACGGAAUGCCAGCCUACCUUUCCAUAACAUCAGGAACUCAUCAAUGCAUAGGUCCUUGUAUGGCACAAAGACCCGACCAAAUGCUGAUGUCAGGCUGCUCCUCUGUCAGAAACAACUUGAAGCACUCUGCCUCAGUUGGAAAUGGCAAGGGGCGUUGCACUCCAGACUGGGACUCAUCAAAGCAAACAGCAGGGCCAGGAGGGG
This 846-nucleotide long non-coding RNA is filed under the name Salmo salar (Atlantic salmon). RNAcentral describes it as "lncRNA (ENSSSAG00000113411.1, ENSSSAG00000119163.1)". The record is from RNAcentral. Lineage: Eukaryota; Metazoa; Chordata; Actinopteri; Salmoniformes; Salmonidae.